Molecule: ribosomal RNA, 252 nt
Filed under: uncultured bacterium
Lineage: Bacteria
Description: partial 16S ribosomal RNA
Rfam family: Bacterial small subunit ribosomal RNA
Source: RNAcentral
UACGGAGGAUGCGAGCGUUAUCCGGAUUUAUUGGGUUUAAAGGGUGCGUAGGCGGACUGUCAAGUCAGCGGUAAAAUUGAGAGGCUCAACCUCUUCCCGCCGUUGAAACUGGUGGUCUUGAGUGGAUGAGAAGUACGCGGAAUGCGUGGUGUAGCGGUGAAAUGCAUAGAUACCACGCAGAACUCCGAUUGCGAAGGCAGCGUACCGGCAUCCAACUGACGCUGAGGCACGAAAGCGUGGGGAUCAAACAGG